UACGUAGGGUGCAAGCGUUGUCCGGAAUUAUUGGGCGUAAAGAGCUCGUAGGCGGUUUGUUGCGUCGGCUGUGAAAUCCCGAGGCUCAACCUCGGGUCUGCAGUCGAUACGAGCAAACUAGAGUGUUGCAGGGGAGACUGGAAUUCCUGGUGUAGCGGUGAAAUGCGCAGAUAUCAGGAGGAACACCGGUGGGCGGAAGGCGGAUCUCUGGGCCAUUACUGACGCUGGAGGCGCGAAAAGCCUAGGGGAGCAAACGGG
Molecule: ribosomal RNA, 258 nt
Filed under: uncultured bacterium
Lineage: Bacteria
Description: partial 16S ribosomal RNA
Rfam family: Bacterial small subunit ribosomal RNA
Source: RNAcentral